This 67-nucleotide transfer RNA is filed under the name Marmota monax (woodchuck). RNAcentral describes it as "tRNA.Leu". Lineage: Eukaryota; Metazoa; Chordata; Mammalia; Rodentia; Sciuridae. The record is from RNAcentral.
GGUUAUGGCUCAGUGGUAGAGCACUUACCUAAGAUGGGUGAGGCCCUGGGUUUGAUCCUCAGCACCA